GUAUGGUGAUUGUCAAAAUGCCAAAUGAAAUGAGUAUUUUUUAAAGAAUUAGAUAAGUACAGACAAGAAGAAUAGCUGCUGUCGUUAACUUACGAAAUACGCAAUGGACACGAUGAUCGUAGUUUUUUUUUUAAUUUUCACCGCCACCGGAAUCGUAUGUGAAAAAGCGUUUCAUUUUCCAAACGACUUUACCUUUGGAGUGGCAACCGCAGCUUAUCAAAUCGAAGGUGGUUGGAACGACGAUGGCAAGGGUGAAAACAUUUGGGAUAGAAUUACCCAUGAACGGCCGGAGUGGGUCAAAGAUAAGCAAAACGGUAAUAUAGCUUGUGACUCAUAU
Photinus pyralis (common eastern firefly) is the source of this 337-nucleotide long non-coding RNA. RefSeq lists it as uncharacterized. The transcript is spliced from 3 exons. The record is from RefSeq and is a predicted model, not a curated record. NCBI's taxonomy places the organism in Eukaryota, Metazoa, Arthropoda, Insecta, Coleoptera, Lampyridae.